Molecule: ribosomal RNA, 253 nt
Filed under: uncultured bacterium
Lineage: Bacteria
Description: partial 16S ribosomal RNA
Rfam family: Bacterial small subunit ribosomal RNA
Source: RNAcentral
UACGGAGGGUGCGAGCGUUGUCCGGAAUCACUGGGCGUAAAGGGCGCGUAGGCGGCCUGAUAAGUAGGGGGUGAAAUCCUGCGGCUUAACCGCAGGGCUGCCUUCUAAACUGUCAGGCUAGAGCACAGUAGAGGCAGGUGGAAUUCCCGGUGUAGCGGUGGAAUGCGUAGAGAUCGGGAAGAACACCAGUGGCGAAGGCGGUCUGCUGGGCCGUUGCUGACGCUGAGGCGCGACAGCAUGGGGAGCAAACAGG